This 497-nucleotide ribosomal RNA is filed under the name uncultured bacterium. Its description in RNAcentral is "partial 16S ribosomal RNA". It matches the Rfam family "Bacterial small subunit ribosomal RNA", at positions 28 to 507 of the family's 1533-position model. The record is from RNAcentral.
GAUGAACGCUGGCGGCGUGCCUAAUACAUGCAAGUCGAGCGAACAGACGAGGAGCUUACUCCUCUGACGUUAGCGGCGGCCGGGUGAGUAACACGUGGAUAACCUACCUAUAAGACUGGGAUAACUUCGGGAAACCGGAGCUAAUACCGGAUAACAUGUUGAACCGCAUGGUUCAACAGUGAAAGACGGUCUUGCUGUCACUUAUAGAUGGAUCCGCGUCGCAUUAGCUAGUUGGUAAGGUAACGGCUUACCAAGGCAACGAUGCGUAGCCGACCUGAGAGGGUGAUCGGCCACACUGGAACUGAGACACGGUCCAGACUCCUACGGGAGGCAGCAGUAGGGAAUCUUCCGCAAUGGGGGAAAGCCUGACGGAGCAACGCCGCGUGAGUGAAGAAGGUCUUCGGAUCGUAAAACUCUGUUAUUAGGGAAGAACAAAUGUGUAAGUAACUAUGCACGUCUUGACGGUACCUAAUCAGAAAGCCACGGCUAACUACGUG